Molecule: ribosomal RNA, 1014 nt
Filed under: metagenome
Description: bacterial SSU rRNA
Rfam family: Bacterial small subunit ribosomal RNA
Source: RNAcentral
ACGGCUAACUACGUGCCAGCAGCCGCGGUAAUACGUAGGUACCGAACGUUGUCCGGAAUCACUGGGCGUAAAGGGUCCGUAGGCGGUUUGAUAAGUCUCAUAUGAAAACUUCAAGCUUAACUUGGAGAGGUUGUGAGAUACUGUCAAACUAGAGACUGUUAGAGGUAAGUGGAAUUCCAGGUGUAGUGGUGAAAUGCGUAGAUAUCUGGAGGAACACCAGUGGCGAAAGCGACUUACUGGGACAGUUCUGACGCUAAGGGACGAAAGCGUGGGGAGCGAACCGGAUUAGAUACCCGGGUAGUCCACGCCGUAAACGAUGAUUGCUAGGUUUUCGGGGCAUCGACCCCUCGUGAGCCGAAGUUAACGCGUUAAGCAAUCCGCCUGAGUAGUACGGCCGCAAGGCUAAAACUCAAAGAAAUUGACGGGGGACCGCACAAGCAGCGGAGCGUGUGGUUUAAUUCGAUGGUAAGCGAAGAACCUUACCAGGGUUUGACAUGUAAGUAGUACUGAACCGAAAGGGGAUGGACCCGCAAGGGAGCUUACACAGGUGUUGCAUGGUUGUCGUCAGCUCGUGCCGUGAGGUGUUGGGUUAAGUCCCGCAACGAGCGCAACCCUCUUUGUUAGUUGCACUCUCUAACGAUACUGCCCUUAAAAGGGAGGAAGGUGGGGAUGACGUCAAAUCAUCAUGGCUCUUACACCCUGGGCUACACACACGCUACAAUGGCAAGUACAGACGGUCGCCAACCCGCGAGGGGGAGCUAAUCCGAUAAAACUUGUCUCAGUUGGGAUUGUAGGCUGAAAUUCGCCUACAUGAACGUGGAGUUGCUAGUAAACGCAGGUCAGCACACUGCGUUGAAUACGUUCCCGGUCCUUGUACACACCGCCCGUCACGUCAUGGAAGUUGGUAACACUUGAAGUCAUUGCGCUAACCCUUUUGGGAGGCAGAUGCCGAGAGUGGGACUGAUGACUGGGACGAAGUCGUAACAAGGUAGCUGUACCGGAAGGUGCGGCUGG